Molecule: ribosomal RNA, 164 nt
Filed under: Garcinia latissima
Lineage: Eukaryota; Viridiplantae; Streptophyta; Magnoliopsida; Malpighiales; Clusiaceae
Description: 5.8S ribosomal RNA
Rfam family: 5.8S ribosomal RNA
About the family: 5.8S ribosomal RNA (5.8S rRNA) is a component of the large subunit of the eukaryotic ribosome. It is transcribed by RNA polymerase I as part of the 45S precursor that also contains 18S and 28S rRNA.
Source: RNAcentral
GAACGACUCUCGGCAACGGAUAUCUCGGCUCUCGCAUCGAUGAAGAACGUAGCGAAAUGCGAUACGUGGUGUGAAUUGCAGAAUCCCGUGAACCAUCGAGUUUUUGAACGCAAGUUGCGCCCGAAGCCUUCAGGUUGAGGGCACGUCUGCCUGGGUGUCACACA